This 1167-nucleotide long non-coding RNA is filed under the name Salmo salar (Atlantic salmon). RNAcentral's name for it is "lncRNA (ENSSSAG00000121893.1)". The record is from RNAcentral. Lineage: Eukaryota; Metazoa; Chordata; Actinopteri; Salmoniformes; Salmonidae.
CUGUUACUCACCUCAAAAACUCAAUAACUGCCAUGCCCACUGAUGAACUGUCCGUGUGCCUGCUAGCUAGAAGGAUGAGUGAUGUCCACUCUGCACGGAGCUGCGACAGUACGUGAUUAUGAUGGGCAGGAGGGAUGACAAGACCCCGGCCAAUUGGCCCAGCGUCAUCCGGGUUUGGCCGUCAUUGUAAAUAACAAUUUGUUCUUAAAACUGCCUAGUUAAAAAAAAAAAAAAAAGUUCCCUUUUGAAUUUCAAAAAUAUUUAUAUAAACCUAACACGGAAGCUAGUAAAACUGUUGCAAUUAUACUUACGUCGCUGUUUACUCCUAGCUUUUUCGCCGGUUGACUGACGUUCGUUGGCUUGCUAGAGAGAGAAAUUCAUCUCGGAUCUAAUUCGCUAGUUUUAGAUUUGGUGCGUAACUACUUCCAGUCUUUGUCGAUCCUGUGCAGACAACCCUUCCAAAUGGCCCUAUGGCUACAUCUACUUGGUUGAAUCUCCAGGUUUACACAGAUUAAUCCUGCUGCUAAUGAAGAUGACCUUGACACCAGCUUUAGUAAUAAAGAGCCUGUAGACCCAUUGGAUGAAAGCUUUCAGCCGGGAACAAGCUCAAGCGCAACAACAUCUGACUCAGAAACAAGCCAGGACAGCCAAAGGAGACUUACAAUACAAACAAAUAUUCUGCAAGAGGUCAAAGCAGUGGGUGGUGAAGAAAGUGUAGAAGCCCAGCCCGGUCAGCUGAGAAGGCACUACAGAGUUGGUAAAUAUUAGCAAUUGAAAUGCUAAUCCUUUGCACAUGAACGCUCACUCAUUCGGGAACAAUUGCAAUCAAUAUAUAUAUUUACGCUCACUGUGUCGUCGGGAUCUUUGUUGGAAAGGUCGUUCUGUUGGAGAGUUCUCUCUCUCAUAGAGAGCCCUUGGUUCUCUAUGGUACAGUAGGUCAGGGAGUGACUAGGGGGUGUUCUAGGUUUAUUAUUUCUAUGUUGGUGUGCUUGGUAUGGUUCCCAAUUAGAGGCAGCUGGUAAUCGUUGCCUCUAAUUGGGGAUCAUAUUUAGGUAGCCUUUUUCCCACCUGUGUUUUUGUGGGAUAUUGUUUUGAGUUAAGUGCAUGUAGCACCUCUGAUGUCACGGUUCGUUGAUUGUUUACUUGUUUUGUUUGAGAAGUUCGCAC